UCUAUGAUUAUCUUUUCAUCAAAAUCCUUCAACAUUCGGCCUCUUGUUUCUUGUGCUAGAGCUACAAUUACAGAUAAAACAGUAGGUUUACUAGUAUUUAGUAGGCCUUGUUUUACUUGUUUUAUUAUACCACUUAAGUGGGAUUAUCUUCACUCUGAUAUUUAGGCCAAUACUAUCACAUAGGAAACUUGAAAUUUUUUUUGUCCUCAAUUUCUUU
Molecule: unclassified non-coding RNA, 217 nt
Filed under: Hevea brasiliensis (rubber tree)
Lineage: Eukaryota; Viridiplantae; Streptophyta; Magnoliopsida; Malpighiales; Euphorbiaceae
Source: RNAcentral